This is a long non-coding RNA of Monodelphis domestica (gray short-tailed opossum), 1029 nucleotides long. RefSeq lists it as uncharacterized. The record is from RefSeq and is a predicted model, not a curated record. NCBI's taxonomy places the organism in Eukaryota, Metazoa, Chordata, Mammalia, Didelphimorphia, Didelphidae.
CCCCUGGGUCUAGCCCAAAGAGGAGGCUCAGUUGAACUGUGAGAGGCACCCAGGCUACAGAGAACUGGUGUUCACCCAGCUCAGCUCUGCAGAGAGGGGGUUGGUUAGGAAGCUGCCAGUCAUUGACAGGCUGCAGGAGAGGCCAGGCCAGAGCCUCAGGGAUUCUUCUGCCAGGGGGUUGGGGGACAUGGGCAUGGGCUACGGGGGCAUGGGCAUGGGGUAGGAAGGAGGCUGUGGGUUCUAAGAAGGGAGGCUUUAGGGGAAUUCUAGCAGAGAAUUUAGAAUGGGAAGGGACCGAAAAUGUCACAAAGGACCCAAGAGAAGGAACUUAGUCAAGGGCACACAGGUAAGUGGCACAGACUAGGCUAGAGAACCAAGCCUGAGCCUCUGAGGCUGGGGGCUCAUUCUACCACCCUGGCUCAGGCCUAAAGUGGAGACCCUUCCCCAAAGUGGAGACCCUUUCCCGGGUCAUGCCUGGGCACUCUCCUACUCUGAGUUGGACGGGUCAGGGCACACUCAUCAUGGCCAGCCCCAAAAUCCAGCCAUGCCACCGGCCAGUGCCCAGCCCCUUUCAUCUUCCCUCCCCCACCCCAAUAUCUGUGCUCCAGCCUCACUUCCUCUAGAAAGCCUGCCAGGACUAACCCCAGUACGCAUUCAAAGAUGCCAAAGGGACCUUAGAGACCAGCCGGGCCUGUAGGAAGAUAUGCUUCACUUGGCUCAUAGUCUCAUGGUACACCUUGAAGUCUUCCUCCUUCACCUUCAGGAUGUCGUUCAUGGCAACUUUUAAGGCUUCGUUCUCUUCAGCCUGGAUUACAAGUCUAAACAGACACAAAUGGAAAGCAAGACUUCACUUCUCAAACCAGAGAUCAAUACUGAUGACUCAUAUUGGAAAAAGGGUGGGCCUGGAAUCGAGAAAUAAUUGAGUUCCAAGCUCCACUCGGGCACUUGAACCUUUUGGAGCCUCAGGUAGUUCAGAUGUGAAUUAUUAUUUCUAGAGCUCUUUCAGGUAAUAAAGCAAGGUUGUCUCAA